UGCGAAGGGGGCUAGCGUUGUUCGGAAUCACUGGGCGUAAAGCGCACGUAGGCGGCUUUCUAAGUCAGGGGUGAAAUCCUGGAGCUCAACUCCAGAACUGCCUUUGAUACUGGAGAGCUUGAGUCCGGGAGAGGUGAGUGGAACUCCGAGUGUAGAGGUGAAAUUCGUAGAUAUUCGGAAGAACACCAGUGGCGAAGGCGGCUCACUGGCCCGGUACUGACGCUGAUGUGCGAAAGCGUGGGGAGCAAACAGG
Molecule: ribosomal RNA, 253 nt
Filed under: uncultured bacterium
Lineage: Bacteria
Description: partial 16S ribosomal RNA
Rfam family: Bacterial small subunit ribosomal RNA
Source: RNAcentral